Molecule: microRNA precursor, 170 nt
Filed under: Oryza meridionalis
Lineage: Eukaryota; Viridiplantae; Streptophyta; Magnoliopsida; Poales; Poaceae
Description: pre miRNA MIR167_1
Rfam family: MIR167 microRNA precursor family
Source: RNAcentral
CCAAGAGAAAGCGUGAAGCUGCCAGCAUGAUCUAACUUGCAGACAAGAAAUCAGCUCGCUGUUAGUCAAACAAGAAAAUCAGCUCGCUGGUUUUGAACAGGAAGGCGGCUGAGGCUUCUUCUUCGGAGUGAUGGUUAGAUCAUGCUGUGACAGUUUCACUCUUUCCCUGU